Molecule: ribosomal RNA, 453 nt
Filed under: uncultured bacterium
Lineage: Bacteria
Description: bacterial SSU rRNA
Rfam family: Bacterial small subunit ribosomal RNA
Source: RNAcentral
ACACAAGGAGCAAUCUGAGGUGGCGACCGGCGCACGGGUGAGUAACACGUAUGCAACCUGCCUGUAAGCGGGGAAUAACCCGUUGAAAGACGGACUAAUACCGCAUAAUACUAAAUUACUGCAUGGUAAUUUAUUUAAACAUUUAUGGCUUACAGAUGGGCAUGCGCAUGAUUAGCUAGUUGGAGAGGUAACGGCUCCCCAAGGCAACGAUCAUUAGGGGUUCUGAGAGGAAGGUCCCCCCACACUGGUACUGAGACACGGACCAGACUCCUACGGGAGGCAGCAGUGAGGAAUAUUGGUCAAUGGACGAGAGUCUGAACCAGCCAAGUCGCGUGCAGGAAGAAUUGUCCUAUGGAUUGUAAACUGCUUUUGCAGGGGAAUAAAGUGCAUCACGUGUGAUGUUUUGUAUGUACUCUGCGAAUAAGGAUCGGCUAACUCCGUGCCAGCCGCCGC